GGGGAGGGAAUGCAGUUUCAAAAACAGUCAGCUGCAGCCGUGUAGUACAUCCAUGAUCCAGGGUGUUCCACAGGCAUACGCCGGUAACACGUUUUAGAGCUUCUUGUUUCCACCAUACCAUCAUCUGCUGCUGAUCGAUGAACAUCCACCUCGCCAGCAAGGCCAGGAAAGCAGAUUAUGGCCACAAUCCAAUGUAAUGCAUAUCCAAGAAUGGUUUUGGUAUCCGAAAAAUUCAACACAAGUAAGGCAUUAUUUGGUGUAAAUAAGGACUCCAAUAUCAAUUUUGUUUCCUUGGUUACUUUUUGAAGUAGGAGUAUUAUCCGUCGACAUCU
Molecule: long non-coding RNA, 332 nt
Organism: Neodiprion virginianus
Lineage: Eukaryota; Metazoa; Arthropoda; Insecta; Hymenoptera; Diprionidae
Exons: 3
Source: RefSeq, a predicted model, not a curated record